This 497-nucleotide ribosomal RNA is filed under the name uncultured bacterium. RNAcentral describes it as "partial 16S ribosomal RNA". It matches the Rfam family "Bacterial small subunit ribosomal RNA", at positions 28 to 507 of the family's 1533-position model. The record is from RNAcentral.
GAUGAACGCUGGCGGCGUGCCUAAUACAUGCAAGUCGAGCGAACAGACGAGGAGCUUGCUCCUCUGACGUUAGCGGCGGACGGGUGAGUAACACGUGGAUAACCUACCUAUAAGACUGGGAUAACUUCGGGAAACCGGAGCUAAUACCGGAUAAUAUAUUGAACCGCAUGGUUCAAUAGUGAAAGACGGUUUUGCUGUCACUUAUAGAUGGAUCCGCGCCGCAUUAGCUAGUUGGUAAGGUAACGGCUUACCAAGGCAACGAUGCGUAGCCGACCUGAGAGGGUGAUCGGCCACACUGGAACUGAGACACGGUCCAGACUCCUACGGGAGGCAGCAGUAGGGAAUCUUCCGCAACGGGCGAAAGCCUGACGGAGCAACGCCGCGUGAGUGAUAAAGGUCUUCGGAUCGUAAAACUCUGUUAUUAGGGAAGAACAAAUGUGUAAGUAACUAUGCACGUCUUGACGGUACCUAAUCAGAAAGCCACGGCUAACUACGUG